Ochotona curzoniae (black-lipped pika) is the source of this 136-nucleotide small nucleolar RNA. RefSeq annotates it as small nucleolar RNA SNORA70. The transcript has a single exon. The record is from RefSeq and is a predicted model, not a curated record. NCBI's taxonomy places the organism in Eukaryota, Metazoa, Chordata, Mammalia, Lagomorpha, Ochotonidae.
CUCCAGAAAAAUGGUGGUGGGGGCAGAAGCAGUAUGUGGAAACUUACUGAAAGUGAAAAUGCAAACAGCAGACUCCUUGGUGCUGUACAUGGUCUGUUGCCUUUACAUGUUGUCCUAGGGGACCUCAGGGACAGCC